CAAAAGUAGAGAGAAGUCGAAAAUUUGAGGCACAAUAUAGUUUUCUCAAAAUUGAGGGACUUGUAAGAAAGCCAGCAACGAAUUAAAGAAUUCAAACUCUACAACUCAAUUCAGUGCUAGCCCUCUGCGAGUACACACUACAGAGUACAGACUUGAAGAUUCCUUUGUCCCUAGAAAUCAUCACCCCACCAUUUUCUCAGCUUCCUUUUUCUUCUACCAAAACCCCAAAUCCAUCUCUCGUACUCAUGGUGUGGAGUGUAAAAUGCUGGAUUUGUUUUUUGUCUAAGCUGAAUAUCUUGUCCAUGUCCAACUGAACCCCUUUUUGAAAACUGUUGUAUGUAACGACGUCGUAAAGUAGCCAUCAGUGCUUACUCCUUUACUUUGUUGCACCUAUUUAGCAUUUCUUUCCUUUGGGUUUAGUGUUUUUGCUAUUAGAAAUCUCCAAAAAUCUUUAAUUCUUUUUUUUUUUUGUUUUUUGUUUUUGAUUGCUUAUUGUGACCUUAACUGCAAAGGCUUACAGUUGCUGUUGAUUAUUUUAAGGUUUAAGUGUUGUUCUAAAUUCCUGUUUCACAAAAAUAGAAUCUUGAUUUGUUUUAAUUUAAU
RNAcentral lists this long non-coding RNA (603 nucleotides) under Nicotiana benthamiana. RNAcentral describes it as "long non-coding RNA (NBEN_LNC013165)". Lineage: Eukaryota; Viridiplantae; Streptophyta; Magnoliopsida; Solanales; Solanaceae. The record is from RNAcentral.